This 72-nucleotide transfer RNA is filed under the name Bos taurus (domestic cattle). It matches the Rfam family "tRNA". Rfam says of the family: Transfer RNA (tRNA) molecules are approximately 80 nucleotides in length. Their secondary structure includes four short double-helical elements and three loops (D, anti-codon, and T loops). Further hydrogen bonds mediate the characteristic L-shaped molecular structure. tRNAs have two regions of fundamental functional importance: the anti-codon, which is responsible for specific mRNA codon recognition, and the 3' end, to which the tRNAs corresponding amino acid is attached (by aminoacyl-tRNA synthetases). tRNAs cope with the degeneracy of the genetic code in two manners: having more than one tRNA (with a specific anti-codon) for a particular amino acid; and 'wobble' base-pairing, i.e. permitting non-standard base-pairing at the 3rd anti-codon position. Lineage: Eukaryota; Metazoa; Chordata; Mammalia; Artiodactyla; Bovidae. The record is from Rfam by way of RNAcentral.
UCCCUUGUAGCUUAGAUGGUAAAGCGUCUGCCUACAAUGCAGGAGACUCAGGUUUGAUCCCUGGGUCAGGAA